UUCUAUCCAGACUAGACAGAGGAGGUGCUGUACCACAACCCUUCUAUCCAGACUAGACAGAGGAGGUGCUGUACCACAACCCUUCUAUCCAGACUAGACAGAGGAGGUGCUGUACCACAACCCUUCUAUCCAGACUAGACAGAGGAGGUGCUGUACCACAACCCUUCUAUCCAGACUAGACAGAGGAGGUGCUGUACCACAACCCUUCUAUCCAGACUAGACAGAGGAGGUGCUGUACCACAACCCUUCUAUCCAGACUAGACAGAGGAGGUACUGCUACUGCACUGUGAUCCAUAUCCACCCAGUAUAGACUGUACAUCUCUGUCAUAAUAUGAGCCUUUAUAGAGUAGUUUCAUCCACAC
Oncorhynchus keta (chum salmon) is the source of this 362-nucleotide long non-coding RNA. RefSeq lists it as uncharacterized. The record is from RefSeq and is a predicted model, not a curated record. The transcript is spliced from 4 exons. Lineage: Eukaryota; Metazoa; Chordata; Actinopteri; Salmoniformes; Salmonidae.